RNAcentral lists this unclassified non-coding RNA (858 nucleotides) under Utricularia tricolor. RNAcentral describes it as "partial contains tRNA-Leu (trnL) gene and trnL-trnF spacer region". Lineage: Eukaryota; Viridiplantae; Streptophyta; Magnoliopsida; Lamiales; Lentibulariaceae. The record is from RNAcentral.
AGCUGAGCUAUCCCGACCAUUCCCUGUGUAGUAACCCAUACUCAUUUUAUUAUUUUAGUCAAUUACUGGGGUCUAUGUCAAUUAAAGGGAAAGGGUAGAUUAGAAAUUUUUCGCCAAGUCCUUUGAUCUUCAAAAAGAACACUUUUAAAGUUUCAGUAUUCGUAAAGCUAUUUAUUGAUGGUGAAUUAUUUAAAUCGGGAUUUUUUGCUAAAUUAGGACGUGUAUUCUAUAUUACAUGGGCAAAGAGAAAGUCAUUUACGUCCGCCUACAUUUGCAAAGAAUCUGAAAAAAAACCAAUUUGUAACCGAAAGAAAGAGGGGAAAGAAAGGUAAGGUUAGGAUGAAUAUUUUGGGAGUCAAAUAAGCUUGGUUGGGGAUAGAGGGACUUUGAACGGAUUUUCCUCUUACUAUAAAUUUCAUUGUUGUCGGCAUUGACAUGUCGGAGAGGACUCUAUCUUUAUUCUUGUCCAAUUGAUCAGUUCUUGAAAAGGUUUAUCGGACUAGGGAGUGAAUGAUUUGAUGAAUAAAAAUUCUAGUUUUGCUUCAAUGGCGAAGGAAUUCACACCAAUUCUUUUAUUUUUCAUAUAUCUCAUAUAAAAAUAAUACAUCUAGAGAUUCAGGCCAUGAUUACUCGUUUGAUAUAGUAUUCAAUAGGUAGGUUUAUCUUUGAUCUUUUCUCACGUUUCGGUGGAAAGAUUCCGCCCCCAUUUCCUAGAACAACUUCCAUUGAGUCUCUGGACCUAUCCUUUUUUUUUUCUGUUUAUGAACCUUUCUUUUAAGAAAACAGGAUUUGGCUCAGGAUUGCCCUAUUCCGGGGUUUCCCUGAAUUUGAAAGUUAUCACUUAGUAGGUUUCCAUAC